RNAcentral lists this ribosomal RNA (656 nucleotides) under uncultured bacterium. RNAcentral's name for it is "bacterial SSU rRNA". It matches the Rfam family "Bacterial small subunit ribosomal RNA", at positions 232 to 885 of the family's 1533-position model. The record is from RNAcentral.
CGCGGCCUAUCAGCUUGUUGGUGGGGUAACGGCCUACCAAGGCGAUUACGGGUAGCCGGCCUGAGAGGGCGACCGGCCACACUGGGACUGAGACACGGCCCAGACUCCUGCGGGAGGCAGCAGUGGGGAAUAUUGCGCAAUGGGCGAAAGCCUGACGCAGCGACGCCGCGUGGGGGAUGACGGCCUUCGGGUUGUAAACCUCUUUUACCACCAACGCAGGCUCCGGGUUUUCUCGGGGUUGACGGUAGGUGGGGAAUAAGGACCGGCUAACUACGUGCCAGCAGCCGCGGUAAUACGUAGGGUCCGAGCGUUGUCCGGAAUUAUUGGGCGUAAAGAGCUCGUAGGCGGCGUGUCGCGUCUGCUGUGAAAGACCGGGGCUUAACUCCGGUUCUGCAGUGGAUACGGGCAUGCUAGAGGUAGGUAGGGGAGACUGGAAUUCCUGGUGUAGCGGUGAAAUGCGCAGAUAUCAGGAGGAACACCGGUGGCGAAGGCGGGUCUCUGGGCCUUACCUGACGCUGAGGAGCGAAAGCAUAGGGAACGAACAGGAUUAGAUACCCUGGUAGUCCAUGCCGUAAACGUUGGGUGCUAGGUGUGGGGACUUUCCACGGUUUCCGCGCCGUAGCUAACGCAUUAAGCGCCCCGCCUGGGGAGUACGG